This 24-nucleotide small nuclear RNA is filed under the name Arabidopsis thaliana (thale cress). RNAcentral's name for it is "snRNA_12811". Lineage: Eukaryota; Viridiplantae; Streptophyta; Magnoliopsida; Brassicales; Brassicaceae. The record is from RNAcentral.
GUAAAACCCUAAUCUGUCAUAAAU